Molecule: ribosomal RNA, 531 nt
Filed under: uncultured organism
Description: bacterial SSU rRNA
Rfam family: Bacterial small subunit ribosomal RNA
Source: RNAcentral
CUGGGGAGUACGUCGGCAACGAUGAUACUCAAAGGUAUUGACGGGGGCCCGCACAAUCGGAGGAGCACAGUGGUUUAAUUCGAUGAUACGCGAGGAACCUUACCUGGGCUUGAACGUAUGGUGCAUGAGUGUGAAAGCACUCUUUCCUUCACAGGACUUCAUACGAGGUGCUGCAUGGUUGUCGUCAGCUCGUGCCGUGAGGUGUUAGGUUAAGUCCUGCAACGAGCGCAACCCCUGUUUUUAGUUGCCAGCAGGUUAUGCUGGGCACUCUAGAUAGACUGCCUGCGCAAGCAGAGAGGAAGGUGGGGAUGACGUCAAAUCAGCACGGCCCUUACGUCCAGGGCUACACACGUGCUACAAUGGUCGGCACAGAGGUNGGCUACCCGGUAACGGGAUGCUAAUCUCCAAAGUCGAUCUUAGUUCGGAUCGAAGUCUGCAACUCGACUUCGUGAAGUUGGAUUCGCUAGUAUUCGUAUAUCAGCCAUGAUACGGUGANUACGUGCCCGGCCUUGUACACACCGCCCGUCAAGC